GUGAGGAAUUUUCCGCAAUGGGCGAAAGCCUGACGGAGCAAUGCCGCGUGAAGGAUGAAGGCCUAUGGGUUGUAAACUUCUUUUCUCAGAAAAGAAUUAUGACGGUAUCUGAGGAAUAAGCAUCGGCUAACUCUGUGCCAGCAGCCGCGGUAAGACAGAGGAUGCAAGCGUUAUCCGGAAUGAUUGGGCGUAAAGCGUCUGUAGGUUGUUUAAAAAGUAUUCUGUCAAAGAUUAGGGCUUAACCCUAGAUAGGCAGAAUAAACUUUUAAGCUAGAGUUUGGUAGAGGCAGAGGGAAUUCCCGGUGGAGCGGUGAAAUGCGUAGAUAUCAGGAGGAACACCAAAGGCGAAGGCACUCUGCUGGGCCAAUACUAACACUGAGAGACGAAAGCGAGGGGAGCAAAUGGGAUUAGAUACCCGUGUAGUCC
This 426-nucleotide ribosomal RNA is filed under the name uncultured bacterium. Its description in RNAcentral is "partial 16S ribosomal RNA". It matches the Rfam family "Bacterial small subunit ribosomal RNA", at positions 354 to 796 of the family's 1533-position model. The record is from RNAcentral.